GUAACGGCUUACCAAGGCAACGAUACGUAGCCGACCUGAGAGGGUGAUCGGCCACACUGGAACUGAGACACGGUCCAGACUCCUACGGGAGGCAGCAGUAGGGAAUCUUCCGCAAUGGGCGAAAGCCUGACGGAGCAACGCCGCGUGAGUGAUGAAGGUCUUCGGAUCGUAAAACUCUGUUAUCAGGGAAGAACAAAUGUGUAAGUAACUGUGCACAUCUUGACGGUACCUGAUCAGAAAGCCACGGCUAACUACGUGCCAGCAGCCGCGGUAAUACGUAGGUGGCAAGCGUUAUCCGGAAUUAUUGGGCGUAAAGCGCGCGUAGGCGGUUUUUUAAGUCUGAUGUGAAAGCCCACGGCUCAACCGUGGAGGGUCAUUGGAAACUGGAAAACUUGAGUGCAGAAGAGGAAAGUGGAAUUCCAUGUGUAGCGGUGAAAUGCGCAGAGAUAUGGAGGAACACCAGUGGCGAAGGCGACUUUCUGGUCUGUAACUGACGCUGAU
RNAcentral lists this ribosomal RNA (501 nucleotides) under Staphylococcus sp. Its description in RNAcentral is "bacterial SSU rRNA". It matches the Rfam family "Bacterial small subunit ribosomal RNA", at positions 257 to 750 of the family's 1533-position model. Lineage: Bacteria; Bacillati; Bacillota; Bacilli; Caryophanales; Staphylococcaceae. The record is from RNAcentral.